CUCCUAAUGCAGCCGCCGGAUCCGGCGCAGGUCACAAGCCCUGGCAAAUGCAGAGUGGGAG
RNAcentral lists this non-coding RNA (61 nucleotides) under unclassified sequences. The record is from RNAcentral.